Rhinopithecus roxellana (golden snub-nosed monkey) is the source of this 2293-nucleotide long non-coding RNA. RefSeq lists it as uncharacterized. NCBI's taxonomy places the organism in Eukaryota, Metazoa, Chordata, Mammalia, Primates, Cercopithecidae. The transcript is spliced from 2 exons. The record is from RefSeq and is a predicted model, not a curated record.
UCCCUACCACUGUGUGUCUGUGGAUAUUGUCGGCUUGCUGGAGCGCCUACAGCAACAGAGUGAAGCAGGCAGCCGGGGCGGGGGCGGGGCGGUGGUUGGGCUUUGCAUCUGUUGACGAAAAGAGUCAAACUGUGUGAAGUAUUUGAAGAGACUUAUUCUGAGUCCAGUAUGAGUGAACAUGGCCCCUGACACAGCCCUCAGAAGGUCCUGAGAACAUGUGCCCAAGGUGGUUGGGGUGCAGCUUGGUUUUGUACAUUUUAAGGAGGUGUGUUGGGGGGGCCUGGGCCAGGCUAUUGGUAGAUUUGACAAUUGGUCGAGUUUGUCCAAAGACCUGGAAUCAACAAAAAGGAAUGCCUGGGUUCAGAAAAGCGGAAGCGGUUGUGGAGACCAAGAUUCUUAUUUACGCAGAUGAAGCCUCCAGGUAGCGGGCUUCAAAGAGACUAGAUUGUAGAUGUUUCUUAUCAGACCUGAAAAGGUGCCAUACUCUUAGUGGAGUCUCUCCUGGCUCAGGGAGAAGACCUGGAAAGGGAGGGGGAUUCACUACAGAACGUAGAUUGUCCCAAGAGACAGCUUUACAGGGCCAUGUCAGAAUGUGUCAAAGAAAUAUAUUUUUGAGUAAAGUACUUCUGUUUCUUUCAGGGCCUGCAAUCUGUCAUGUGAUGCUAUACUAGAGUCAGGUUGAAAUUUGGUGUCUUACUGCUACAAAGUCUGUUUUGUCAGUCUUGGGAUCGCUUUUAAUGUUAAUGCUGGUCAGCUGUGCCUGAAUUCCAUAGGGAGAAGGGCAUAAUGAGGCAAAUUCGACCCCGCAUUUGGCCUGAACUAGUUUUUCAGGUUAACUUAGGAAUGCCCUUGGCCAAGAGCAGGAGUCCAUUCAGUUGGGUUGGGGGCUUAGAAUUUAAUUUUUGGUUUAUACCGUGCUUACUGCUGUUGGCCCACGUGCAUUCGUUCAUUGCCAUGGCCCCACACUCCUUUCCUUCUAGUCUGUGACCCUAGGGCCCCUGUGGUGGGACUGCAAAAAAAAAAAAAAAAAAAAGAUGGGGUGCAGGUCUGCUCACUCAGUUGUUGACAGAGAUUCUGAUAGUCAGGAUCUCUGGGAAUAUAAAGAUGAAACUUCCCCCUCGCCUUCAAGGAUAUCACGGGCCAGAAGGCAAAGUUGUUUUGAAUACGUGGUUCAUUGAGUACCCACCCUGUGCCAAUUGAUGGCUGCAAAGAGAACAGAAGGGGUGGUGCUGCUGUAGGAAAUAAAUGAAUGGCUCGGAAGACCACACUGAGGAAGGUGUGAGUUGAUACUGGAAGAUCUCCAGGUUUGAGGCAUCCUUAGAGGGAUAUGAUGGUUUUGUGUGUGUAGAGGGUGUGGUAGCGCAGCAGCUCCCUGGGGAAUUAGAAGGUUUUUCUUUAUUGACAGUUUACCCUGUGACAGGCACUGCAGGCAUUCAGCGCACCGUGUCUUCUCCAUUUUACAGAAGGCAUCAUGGCCGCCCUCAGACCCCUUGUGAAGCCCAAGAUGGACGAAAAGAGAACCAAGAAGUUCAUCCGGCACCAGUCAGACCGAUAUGUCAAAAUUAAAGUAUAUGGCCCUGGAAUGGAAACAGGUGUGGGGUGAAGAAAGAAGCUUCCAACAGGCUGUCGGUUUCUGACAUCACCUAGUCGGGACUACCUUUGACCGAUGAACUGGUUUGUGGAAGAGCUUUCUGUAGAAAUACAGGUCUCCCCCAGUGUGCCCUAGUGCUGGUACUUAAGUCUCUUGGUGUAUGAAGUGAAAUUUAAAUGAGAAGGGACACUUGGCUGUUUCGAUGUGUUUAGAGGGCUUUGCAUUUGUGUCGUGUAUUUUGGGUUGCCUUAUGACAGCAGGAUCCCUAUUUUAUAGACAGGAAAACUCAGAGGUGCUGAGAGCAGUGUCUGCAGCUGUGCUCGCCAUCUCAGUAUCUACACAGUCCCCUCGCGUCCCAUUGGUGUCUGUCUCCAUUUCUUGGGAGUGAGAAUGGCAGGGGUGCCUGCAUUCCUAAUGGCUAAAGCCAAGAGCUCCUGGUUUUUGCCACCAAAAAAGCAUGUAAGGAAAUAGUGAAGUCCUGUUACCAAAGGCAGCUACUGUGUGGCAUACUUCCUUUUCAUCUGGUCCUUUUUUCCCUCCCCAAAGGAAGAGGUGGCACUCUGCACAGACGCUAACCCACCUGUGUGUUAUUUCCUUCAGCGUAACUGGCGGAAACCCCAAGGGAUUGACAACAGGGUUUGUAGAAGGUUCAAGGGCCAGAUCUUGAUAGGAUGUCCAGCAUUGGUUAUAGGAGCAAAAAAA